RNAcentral lists this ribosomal RNA (208 nucleotides) under uncultured Mesotoga sp. RNAcentral's name for it is "partial 16S ribosomal RNA". It matches the Rfam family "Bacterial small subunit ribosomal RNA", at positions 568 to 774 of the family's 1533-position model. The record is from RNAcentral. Lineage: Bacteria; Thermotogati; Thermotogota; Thermotogae; Kosmotogales; Kosmotogaceae.
AGCGUAGGUCGGCCUAACAUGUCAACUGUGAAAACCCGGAGCUCAACUCCGGACUUGCAGUUGAAACUGGUAGGCUUGAGGACGGUAGAGGAAGACGGAACUGCCAGUGUAGGGGUAAAAUCCUUAGAUAUUGGCAGGAACGCCGGUGACGAAGGUGGUUUUCUGGGCCGGUUCUGACACUGAUGCUCGAAAGCCAGGGGAGCGAACG